CCUACGUGAGGCUGCAGUGAGGAAUAUUGGUCAAUGGGCGCGAGCCUGAACCAGCCAAGUCGCGUGAGGGACGACGGUCCUAUGGAUUGUAAACCUCUUUUGUCGGGGAGCAAAAGACGCCACGCGUGGCGUUCCGAGAGUACCCGAAGAAAAAGCAUCGGCUAACUCCGUGCCAGCAGCCGCGGUAAUACGGAGGAUGCGAGCGUUAUCCGGAUUUAUUGGGUUUAAAGGGUGCGCAGGCGGAAAGUCAAGUCAGCGGUAAAAAUGCGAGGCUCAACCCCGUCGAGCCGUUGAAACUGGUUGUCUUGAGUGGGCGAGAAGUAUGCGGAAUGCGUGGUGUAGCGGUGAAAUGCAUAGAUAUCACGCAGAACUCCGAUUGCGAAGGCAGCAUACCGGCGCUCAACUGACGCUGAUGCACGAAAGUGUGGGUAUCGAACAGGAUUAGAUACCCGAGUAGUC
RNAcentral lists this ribosomal RNA (459 nucleotides) under uncultured bacterium. RNAcentral describes it as "partial 16S ribosomal RNA". It matches the Rfam family "Bacterial small subunit ribosomal RNA", at positions 338 to 795 of the family's 1533-position model. The record is from RNAcentral.